Molecule: ribosomal RNA, 1661 nt
Filed under: Salmonella enterica subsp. enterica serovar Enteritidis
Lineage: Bacteria; Pseudomonadati; Pseudomonadota; Gammaproteobacteria; Enterobacterales; Enterobacteriaceae
Description: partial 23S ribosomal RNA
Rfam family: Bacterial large subunit ribosomal RNA
Source: RNAcentral
GAAUGCUGACAUAAGUAACGAUAAAGCGGGUGAAAAGCCCGCUCGCCGGAAGACCAAGGGUUCCUGUCCAACGUUAAUCGGGGCAGGGUGAGUCGACCCCUAAGGCGAGGCCGAAAGGCGUAGUCGAUGGGAAACGGGUUAAUAUUCCCGUACUUGGUGUUACUGCGAAGGGGGGACGGAGAAGGCUAUGUUGGCCGGGCGACGGUUGUCCCGGUUUAAGCGUGUAGGUGUGUGUUCCAGGUAAAUCCGGUUCACUUUAACACUGAGGCGUGACGACGAGGCACUACGGUGCUGAAGCAACAAAUGCCCUGCUUCCAGGAAAAGCCUCUAAGCAUCAGGUAACAUCAAAUCGUACCCCAAACCGACACAGGUGGUCAGGUAGAGAAUACCAAGGCGCUUGAGAGAACUCGGGUGAAGGAACUAGGCAAAAUGGUGCCGUAACUUCGGGAGAAGGCACGCUGACACGUAGGUGAAGUGAUUUACUCAUGGAGCUGAAGUCAGUCGAAGAUACCAGCUGGCUGCAACUGUUUAUUAAAAACACAGCACUGUGCAAACACGAAAGUGGACGUAUACGGUGUGACGCCUGCCCGGUGCCGGAAGGUUAAUUGAUGGGGUCAGCGCAAGCGAAGCUCCUGAUCGAAGCCCCGGUAAACGGCGGCCGUAACUAUAACGGUCCUAAGGUAGCGAAAUUCCUUGUCGGGUAAGUUCCGACCUGCACGAAUGGCGUAAUGAUGGCCAGGCUGUCUCCACCCGAGACUCAGUGAAAUUGAACUCGCUGUGAAGAUGCAGUGUACCCGCGGCAAGACGGAAAGACCCCGUGAACCUUUACUAUAGCUUGACACUGAACAUUGAGCCUUGAUGUGUAGGAUAGGUGGGAGGCUUUGAAGUGUGGACGCCAGUCUGCAUGGAGCCGACCUUGAAAUACCACCCUUUAAUGUUUGAUGUUCUAACGUGGACCCGUUACCCGGGUUGCGGACAGUGUCUGGUGGGUAGUUUGACUGGGGCGGUCUCCUCCUAAAGAGUAACGGAGGAGCACGAAGGUUGGCUAAUCCUGGUCGGACAUCAGGAGGUUAGUGCAAUGGCAUAAGCCAGCUUGACUGCGAGCGUGACGGCGCGAGCAGGUGCGAAAGCAGGUCAUAGUGAUCCGGUGGUUCUGAAUGGAAGGGCCAUCGCUCAACGGAUAAAAGGUACUCCGGGGAUAACAGGCUGAUACCGCCCAAGAGUUCAUAUCGACGGCGGUGUUUGGCACCUCGAUGUCGGCUCAUCACAUCCUGGGGCUGAAGUAGGUCCCAAGGGUAUGGCUGUUCGCCAUUUAAAGUGGUACGCGAGCUGGGUUUAGAACGUCGUGAGACAGUUCGGUCCCUAUCUGCCGUGGGCGCUGGAGAACUGAGGGGGGCUGCUCCUAGUACGAGAGGACCGGAGUGGACGCAUCACUGGUGUUCGGGUUGUCAUGCCAAUGGCACUGCCCGGUAGCUAAAUGCGGAAGAGAUAAGUGCUGAAAGCAUCUAAGCACGAAACUUGCCCCGAGAUGAGUUCUCCCUGAGACUUAAAGUCUCCUGAAGGAACGUUGAAGACGACGACGUUGAUAGGCCGGGUGUGUAAGCGCAGCGAUGCGUUGAGCUAACCGGUACUAAUGAACCGUGAGGCUUAACCUUACAACG